Molecule: unclassified non-coding RNA, 199 nt
Filed under: Clavaria acuta
Lineage: Eukaryota; Fungi; Basidiomycota; Agaricomycetes; Agaricales; Clavariaceae
Description: partial internal transcribed spacer 2
Source: RNAcentral
GCAACAUCAAAUCCAGAUUUUGCUCUGUGAUUUGGACUUUGAAGGCUCUGCUGACUGUUAAAGUCAGCUCCUUUUAAAUGCAUUAGCAGGUUGCAAGCAACUGGCCCCAGUUUGAUAGACUUUAAUCAUCUGUGCUGUCGCUAGUAGUUUUGACCGCUGCGAAUUGUCUUUGGACUUGCCAUCAGGCAAUACAUUUAAG